ACGCUGGCGGCGUGCCUAACACAUGCAAGUCGAACGGAGCAAAGCCCUUCGGGACUUUACUUAGUGGCGAACGGGUGAGUAACGCGUGAGGAACCUGCCUUCCAGUGGGGGACAACAGUUGGAAACGACUGCUAAUACCGCAUGAUGCUUUUGAGGGACAUCCCUUAAAAGUCAAAGCUUUAUGUGCUGGAAGAUGGCCUCGCGUCUGAUUAGCUAGUUGGUGGGGUAACGGCCCACCAAGGCAACGAUCGGUAGCCGGACUGAGAGGUUGAACGGCCACAUUGGGACUGAGACACGGCCCAAACUCCAACGGGAGGCAGCAGUGGGGAAUAUUGCACAAUGGGGGAAACCCUGAUGCAGCGACGCCGCGUGAGUGAAGAAGUAUUUCGGUAUGUAAAGCUCUAUCAGCAGGGAAGAAAGUGACGGUACCUGAAUAAGAAGCCCCGGCUAACUACGUG
Molecule: ribosomal RNA, 458 nt
Filed under: uncultured bacterium
Lineage: Bacteria
Description: bacterial SSU rRNA
Rfam family: Bacterial small subunit ribosomal RNA
Source: RNAcentral